Molecule: long non-coding RNA, 4663 nt
Organism: Passer domesticus (house sparrow)
Lineage: Eukaryota; Metazoa; Chordata; Aves; Passeriformes; Passeridae
Exons: 2
Source: RefSeq, a predicted model, not a curated record
CCCGGCUCCAGCAGGCGCUAGGGAUCGAGCCAUCAUCCAGGUAUUCUCAAACAGAAUCACAGACCACAGAAACAAAAUCCAUUAGGUUGGAAAAGACCUCUGAGAUCAUCGAGUCCAACCUUUGGUCGAACACCACUCUCUCAACUAGACCGUGGAUAAGUGCCAUAUCCAGUCUUCCCUUAAACACACCGGGAACAGUGACUCCAGCGCGUCGCUGAGCAACCCAUUCCAAAGUUUAAUCACCAUUACGUGAAGAAAUUCCUCCUUCUGUCGAAACGGAACCUCCCCUGGCACGGCUAGAGGCCAUUCCCUCUCAUCCUGUUAUUUGUGACCUGGAAGAAGAGACCGGCCCCCACCUGGCUACAGCCUCCUUUCCUGUGUAGAGAACGCUAAGGUCUCCCGAGUUUCCUUUUCUCCAGGCUAACCAUCCCCAGCUCCUGCAGCCACUCCUCACAGGACCUGAGCUCCCUUCACCAAGUCAAUUUCCCUUCUCUGGACGUGCUCCAGCAUCUCAGCAUCCUUCCUGAACGGAGGGGCUCAAAACUGCACACAGAACACUCAAGGUGCAGCCUCACCAGUGCCGUGCACAGCACGGUCACUGCCCUGGCCCUGCUGGCCACACUGGUGCUGAUCCAGGCCAGGAUGCCAUCAGCCUUCUCGGCCACCUGGGCACAGCUGGCUCAUGGUGAGCUGGGCACUGACCAGCACUCCCAGGUCCUUUUCCACCAGGCCGCUUCCAGCCACUCUGCCCCCAGCCCGUAGUGCUGUACCUCAAACAGCAAAGCCUGAAUGGCACUGGGGUGCGGGGUGAGAGCCCGCAGUGCCUGUCCUGCCCUCACACCCAGCAACAGAGGAUGACGGAAAAAGCGUGCCACGAGGAAUGGAACUGCUGUGGGAAAGGGGCUGCUUAGAAUCACCUUGUCAGGGCUAGUAUGUCAGAACAACACAAUUCAGCUUCAUAGAUCAAUGUUUAUAUGGUUCUCCCUAUAAAAGCUGUAUGGUUCAGCAGCAUUUAAAAGUGCCAGUUAACAUCUUUAACUGAAAAUGUUGUCAGCUGCAAUAACCCAUCUGGAUGACCAGUCUCAUUAGUUUUUUCCCCAGUAAGAUGGCAGUUCCCUCUGGAGCGGUGUAGGUUUUCUCCCACCUGCCCUCAGCACAUUUUCUCAUUCCAUCAUAAUGGAGCAGAAUUCCCAAGUAACAUUUGUUUUCUAUAUGGAAGAGAACAAAGAAGAGUCCUAUUUCUAAAGGUGCUUUGGAGCAAGGACAGCCUCUUCUGAGAUGGAGUCGAUGGCUUUUGGGAUAGCAGCUUGCAGAAGGGGAUGCAACAGGAAGAAGGUAAACAUCACUAAAUAUAAUCAGAGAGAAUUUGCAACCUGGACAAAACUUUUUUGAAGAAGAGAUGCAUCUUUUGAGAAGAGAGAAAAGGGGCAGACAAUACUUCCCACCUAGAGAAAAAAGUGUUUGUAACUUCAAGGAGAAUGUUACUUAUUUUUGUCGACAAAAUGUGAAGUGAUUUAUUUUUAGAAAGCCUUCACUAGUAUAUGCCACAAAGAGAACAAAAGAUUGUGCAAACAAGUUCUCACAUUCUCAAUAAGAAUCCCUCCAAGAAGUUUAACUGAAAGCAGAAGAUUCUUCACCUCUGCUUUUUUACUGUUAACUUCUCAUUAUCUGCCUCUAAAAUCCAUUUAAAUUUUCAUUUCUGUUGCCUCCUGAGUUUUUUCAUCUGUUCUUUAGUUCUUGGACCCAACCUGCUGGCAAUUUUUAAAGUUAAAUUCUCAUGCUUCAGUCACUUCAACGAAAAAUAUGAAUUACAGAAUGCCUCCAUUGUAGUUUUGAAAAUUAUAAGGAAAAUCCACCCUCCAGUAAAAUACCACACAUAUGGAAGCUAUUAAUGAAAUUACAAAUUAAUCUUUGGCAAAAGCAACUAACUUGGGAAGUUUGCUACAAUAGUAGCAUUAGAUUUAAUUUUUUUAUGUCUCAUUUCACAUAUAUUGUGCACAUAGAGAAUAAAGCAUAAAUUUAUACCUUGCUCCUUGCUAUAUAUCAUCAAAAGGCAGAACUUGCUGGACAAACCACAGAUAGCCUUAGUUGGUAAAGCUUGGAGAGAGCCAAACCUUUCUCCAUGUGGUUGGCUAAAGCAGACAACAGGGUCGGGAGCACUUGGGGAACCAACAUAUUCUCCCCACUUCAAGCCCUUUAUCCAUGGUAAUGGGCUCUGAAACAAGCACAGACAAGGUUCCAAUUAUACCAUUUUCAGAAAAACUGUUUCAUUAGUAAUGUAGAAUGAUUCAUGUCAGUUUCCUGUAAGCAAUCACAUGGUAAGGACAGCUGAAGUCUUUGCUCUAAAACCACUACAAAGACAAGUUCAAAGCCCUUUAAUACCAUCAGUUAAACUGUUAACUUUAAGGUAGUUCUACUCCUUCUUUGAAGGCAUAGGCUGCAAGCUUCUAGUUCAGGUAGUUUAGAGAAAAAUACAGAUCUCUAAAUCCAGAGAUGCAGUUUCUGACUAGGUUUCAGGGAAAAGUGCUUGAAGUGAAGGAAGUUUAAGUGUCCUACAGGCAGUAAAAAAGCUAAGGAUGGGAUGGAAGAAAGCACAGUAUGUGUUUGCUUGCUAUAGGUCUACACACAGAUUCCACAAUUAAUCAUGGAAACUAUAAGACUGGUUAACUGAAAUGCUUUCCAACACCUAUUUCCCAAAAGCAAGACAAACUCAGAUCUUAGUUUACACAAAAUAUCACCAAUGCAUGAAAGUAAUUUUCACUAUCACUUCCUAAUUUUAUAUAUUUUCUUUACAGUACAAUAUAGCAAGCAGCACUUUUAGGAUGAAAAUUCUAGACCAAGGGUACAGGGUACAACAAUUACAGCACACAGGUAUUAAUUAAACCAUUUUGCAACUGAAAAUUACAUACUGGAUAAAUGAUUUCUUUAGUGUGUUCUCUGGUUUCUCUGAAAGCAAACUGCACUAGUAAUCCCAUGGCAGCAGGAAGUUCUCCUUCCAUGAUAAGCCUGGAUCCAGGUCUACUAACAUGUGCUGCAUGAAACAGCUGGCGGGGCGUUUGUCCAUAUGUUUUUAUCAUUGUUUCAAGGGCUCUUCUCUGAACAGGAUCUUCAACAGCAGAAACAUCCAUCCCAAAAUAGGUCUACCGGCAAAAAAGAAAGGAGAGGGGCAAGAAUAAGCUCAUCAGGUUUGUCUUUAGGAAAGAUUUUGCAACACACAAAUUCAGAGGCAGACUAUUCCGUUGUUUGCUCAAGGUGUGGACCAGAAGAGAUCCCACAACGACUGUGCUGACUAAAGAGCCAGAGAGCAUAACCUUGUCACCUCCUCUUUAUUGGAAUAAACUACCACUUUAAGGAUUAUCAUGUGAGCUGCACCCACAUAUGACUAAUUUCUGUUGAAGGUUUUCUUUGAGACCUUACCAAUCUGUGCAAAACAGGAAGGGUUGCUGAUGAUAAACAAAAGAAGUGGAAAGAGUUGGAGAAGUUUAUUUUCUUUAUCUCUUUUUAAUGAGCAUAUUAAAGCUCUCUUUUGGGGUAGGGAAGGAGAAAGAAACCUCAUACUUCAAGAGAGUGGAAAUUUGUCUUUUUCAUGCCUCUCCAGUUGUGCAUCACGCACUUUUCGUCAGAAGCCACAGCAAAGGCCUUGACUUUUCACUUUAAAAAAUGAUGAAGAGGCAAACUUAAUAUUUGAAGCUCAUGGUAUUAACUCAAUCAAUACUUAAGCCCAAAAAGAGUAAAAGAAAGGGAAGUAUUUGGAUAGCUACUUGAAAAAGGCAUCACUGCCACACACUAUAAUUUCAUUAGCUUUUCCAGCCAUAGAACAAACACUAAAACCAGGGAACAUUUGAAUGCAUUUACAACCAGGACUACCUGCUGAGCAAACCUUGUGAUAGUAAGGACUGAAGCUAAAGAAUUCAAUUCAAGAUAUCCAUGGUGCAAUUAUGCAGUAAAACUCUGGAAGUCUUAACAUUAAAUAAAGACUUAUUUGAAAUUAAAUUUACUGUAGAGAAAAGUGCUCAUUAGAGGGACAGAACACAGGAGAUGCAUGAAGGAAAACAGCAUUAGCUCAGGACACACAGAACUAUUUCAAUUCUAUCAAAAGCUGCAGCAGCACCUGCCUAAAUUAAGAGCUUUUGAAUUAGGCAGAAGCAGAUACACACAGUUACAACAAUCAGACUACUGCAAGCCACUGCAAACAACUAUCCAUAAGGUCUAAGCCCCAGAUCUGAUAUGCCCCACAGCUAGCUCAAGGCAAGAGGAACAAAAAUGCACUAAGUCUCACAAUACCCACUGGGAUCUUACAGUUCAACACUGAAAUGGUUAAAGCCUUUUUUUUUUUCAACACUUCAUGAGUGAGGGAUCUUGUUUCAUGCUUGAUGUUUUCCAAGCAAGUCAGACCAAGCUCACCCCCAUUAAGUUACUAAGGACAAUGAACAAACAUGCUGCUUAACAAAUACUUACUGCAGGAUGAAAGACAUUAAUAGCCUGAACAGAGGCCUUGCCUUUUUGCUUAUAACCAAACACCAAGUCAAUCCAGUGACAGAUUGUCUGGGAAACAUGAUCAGACUCCAAAGCCUGACGAUGAAUCAAGAUGAACAGACGAGGAUCGUUACGGGCCCAGGGUGGAAGAUUGACAUGGUUAACUCUGUCACCAUUUUGACGCACU